GAUGAACGCUGGCGGCGUGCUUAACACAUGCAAGUCGAACGGUGAAGCAGAGCUUGCUCUGUGGAUCAGUGGCGAACGGGUGAGUAACACGUGAGCAACCUGCCCCUGACUCUGGGAUAAGCGCUGGAAACGGCGUCUAAUACUGGAUAUGAGCUGCGACCGCAUGGUCAGCAGUUGGAAAGAUUUUUCGGUCUGGGAUGGGCGCACGGUCUAUCAGCUUGUUGGUGAGGUAAUGGCUCACCAAGGCGUCGACGGGUAGCCGGCCUGAGAGGGUGACCGGCCACACUGGGACUGAGAAACGGCCCAGGCUCCUACGGGAGGCAGCAGUGGGGAAUAUUGCACACUGGGCGGAGGCCUGAUGCAGCAACGCCGCGUGGGGGAUGACGGCCUUCGGGUUGUAAACCUCUUUUAGCAGAGAAGGAGCGAAAGUGACGGUACCUGCAGAAAAAGCGCCGGCUAACUACGUG
This 467-nucleotide ribosomal RNA is filed under the name uncultured bacterium. Its description in RNAcentral is "partial 16S ribosomal RNA". It matches the Rfam family "Bacterial small subunit ribosomal RNA", at positions 28 to 507 of the family's 1533-position model. The record is from RNAcentral.